Molecule: long non-coding RNA, 280 nt
Organism: Chinchilla lanigera (long-tailed chinchilla)
Lineage: Eukaryota; Metazoa; Chordata; Mammalia; Rodentia; Chinchillidae
Exons: 3
Source: RefSeq, a predicted model, not a curated record
AACACAGAGCUUAGGACACGUCAAGAAAGCAAAUACCCUACACAAAACAAUAUCUAGGGCUCCCUCUGCACGCUCAGAAGUGAGCAGUAUUUCUGGAUGGAAUGAGAUGGAUAACUGAUUACUGGGGGUCCUGGAAAGCCCUGGAAAGGUGGGGGCUGUUUACCAAGGGAAAUAACCAUGCAGUCAGAGGACUGGACCUUUGAGCCCCAGCUUCAUACUUCUGGAGAGGCAAGGGCAGGACAAGACUUCCAGGAAGAUGGUGGAGUGGUGAGCAGCAGGG